Molecule: ribosomal RNA, 205 nt
Filed under: uncultured bacterium
Lineage: Bacteria
Description: partial 16S ribosomal RNA
Rfam family: Bacterial small subunit ribosomal RNA
Source: RNAcentral
ACGCUCGACACCUACGGGAGCAGCAGUGGGGAAUAUUGCACAAUGGGGGAAACCCUGAUGCAGCGACGCCGCGUGGAGGAAGAAGGUCUUCGGAUUGUAAACUCCUGUUGUUGGGGAAAAAGAGGAUGGUACCCAACAAGGAAGUGACGGCUAACUACGUGCCAGCACGCCGGACGGUAAUCUGAGGGCGGGCGUGGACGAAGGC